Molecule: ribosomal RNA, 479 nt
Filed under: uncultured bacterium
Lineage: Bacteria
Description: partial 16S ribosomal RNA
Rfam family: Bacterial small subunit ribosomal RNA
Source: RNAcentral
GAUGAACGCUAGCGGUAGGCCUAACACAUGCAAGCCGAGCGGUAGAGUUUCUUCGGAAACUUGAGAGCGGCGCACGGGUGCGUAACACGUGUGCAACCUACCUUUAUCUGGGGGAUAGCCUUUCGAACGGAAGAUUAAUACCCCAUAAUAUAAUGAUUGGCAUCAAUUAUUAUUGAAAACUCUGGUGGCUAGAGAUGGGCACGCGCAAGAUUAGAUAGUUGGUUAGGUAACGGCUCACCAAGUCAAUGAUCUUUAGGGGUCAUGAGAGGGAGAUCCCCCAGACUGGUACUGCGACACGGACCAGACUGCUACGGGAGGCAGCAGUGAGGAAUAUUAGACGAUGGAGGAGAGCCUGAUCCAGCCAUCCCGCGGGAAGGAGGACGGUCCUAGGGAUUGUAAACUUCUUUUGUACAGGGAUAAACCUACCCUCGUGAGGGUAGCUGAAGGUACUGAAAGAAUAAGCACCGGCUAACUCCGUG